Molecule: unclassified non-coding RNA, 349 nt
Filed under: Celtis pallida
Lineage: Eukaryota; Viridiplantae; Streptophyta; Magnoliopsida; Rosales; Cannabaceae
Description: partial contains 26S-18S external transcribed spacer and 18S small subunit ribosomal RNA
Source: RNAcentral
UUUCGGUAUCCUGUGUUGCUUACCUCGUACGGAAUUUUUUGCCUCGCUGUCCCUCUCCUCCUUUGUGACCUUCGGGUCGCAAGGGGGACAUCGUAGCGUCACCUGUGUCCCGAACAUGCCUCGACGCUCUGUCGUGGCUGUCGCGGUCCUCGGGUGAUUGCUUGUACUCUCGGAUUCGGAAUACUACGUGGGUGCGGGGGUCUCUGGCCACCGAACGCUCGAAACAGUCCCUUGACACGGACGACUGUCGUGCCUACAGAAAUCCCUGGCCGAAAGGUCAGYGGGCUUYUGCAGCGCACGACGUCCCAAAGGAAUGCUACCUGGUUGAUCCUGCCAGUAGUCAUAUGCU